RNAcentral lists this ribosomal RNA (460 nucleotides) under uncultured bacterium. Its description in RNAcentral is "partial 16S ribosomal RNA". It matches the Rfam family "Bacterial small subunit ribosomal RNA", at positions 338 to 795 of the family's 1533-position model. The record is from RNAcentral.
CCUACGGGAGGCAGCAGUGAGGAAUAUUGGGCAAUGGGCUUACGCCUGAACCAGCCAAGUCGCGUGAGGGAAGACUGCCCUAUGGGUUGUAAACCUCUUUUGUCAGGGAGCAACGCCGGCUACGUGUAGCCGGACUGAGAGUACCUGAAGAAAAAGCAUCGGCUAACUCCGUGCCAGCAGCCGGGGUAAUACGGGGGAUGCGAGCGUGCUCCGAAUUUAUUGGGUUAAAAGGGUGCGUAGGCGGAAUGCCAAGUCAGCGGUAAAGUCGCGGGGCUCAACCUCGCUACGCCAUUGAGACUGGCGUUCUUGAGUAGGCGAGAAGUAUGCAGAAUGCGUGGUGUAGCGGUGAAAUGCAUAGAUAUCACGCAGAACUCCGAUUGCGAAGGCAGCAUACCGGCGCCCAACUGACGCUGAAGCGCGAAAGCGUGGGUAUCGAACAGGAUUAGAUACCCCAGUAGUC